Molecule: ribosomal RNA, 243 nt
Filed under: Triticum aestivum (bread wheat)
Lineage: Eukaryota; Viridiplantae; Streptophyta; Magnoliopsida; Poales; Poaceae
Description: partial small subunit ribosomal RNA
Source: RNAcentral
AUGAAUCUUAUGAGCUGGAACUGCUGAGGGCUUGGGAACCCUUGGUCAGUUCGUGAGCUUCGCAAGUUAGUAAAGCAAGAAGGGCCCGCCCUGCUAUUUUUCAUGGAGAGAAAGAUCAGGGGUAAGUGAGUGGAGGAUAUGAAAACCUCUUUAGGUUUUUCUGGUUGUUUCGCCGUCGAUAGUGACGGGCUUAGUGGAGGGAUUGGAUUGUUUUGGUCGAAUGAUGUUACUGUUACUCUAUAG